RNAcentral lists this transfer RNA (74 nucleotides) under Crassvirales sp. Its description in RNAcentral is "tRNA-Leu". It matches the Rfam family "tRNA". Rfam says of the family: Transfer RNA (tRNA) molecules are approximately 80 nucleotides in length. Their secondary structure includes four short double-helical elements and three loops (D, anti-codon, and T loops). The record is from RNAcentral. Lineage: Duplodnaviria; Heunggongvirae; Uroviricota; Caudoviricetes; Crassvirales.
GCCCAUAUGGCGGAACUGGCAUACGCGUUAGAUUUAGGAUCUAAUUUUUUUGAGUUCGAAUCUCAAUAUGGGCA